Non-coding RNA from Physcomitrium patens, 2807 nucleotides. The record is from RefSeq and is a predicted model, not a curated record. NCBI's taxonomy places the organism in Eukaryota, Viridiplantae, Streptophyta, Bryopsida, Funariales, Funariaceae.
CAACAACAACAUUGACAUGACUCUACAAAUCUUUUUGAAACUCACCAAAACAUUUUUACAGCAAACUGAAGCAGAAAGGAGGAAGAAAUUACAACGGUAAAAGAACACAACACUUGGAAUGAAAUAAUACUCAACUCAAUGUGUGUUUUCCUUAGACUUCUACAACCUGCAUUGCUGCAACUCGUAUGUGUUGCAGAAUCAGCGUUUGGCAAGCAUGGCUCAGAUUGUGGGAGUUCCUGUGAAAGUGAAUGUGAAUGUUGUGCAUGUUUUCCAUAAGAAUUGUGAGGCCUGAGGGAGGUUUCACUUGCAUUACCGACUGUCUUCACUAGCAAGCUGCUGCCGACGCUCCCAUGGCUAUGCCCCACCUGUGUGCACAGGUUUACAGCAGCUUACCUCGCAGCAGGUGGAGGUGGAAGUUUUUGGAGGUUGGCUUCAAGGAUGUCUUCAAGGAAAGAUGUUCUCUUUGCAUCAGUUGCCAUUACGGCUCUAAGUUGGAAGUUCGCCCUGCCUUGGGUGGACAUUCUGUGCAAGGCUCCGAGUUCUGUGAGGCGUUGCAAGGAUUUAUAUGUGCAAGUAUCGUUUGUUGAUUGUUUUUUUGUAGUGUGCGUCAUGGUGUCUAUGAUUCCUUCUUUGCUAUGCUGGGAGAGCGUUUUGGUACAUUCCUUGGAGGAGCCUUUUUUUUUUUUUUUUUUUUUUUUUUUGGUCUUUGGAAAGUGGUUGUGGCGUGUGUUCGCUGCGUGUGUUACCAGCCGUUUCGUGCAAAGUUGUAGGUGCCUCCCCAGGUUUAGGGUUUCAGAUGUGUCUGCUCCAGCAAGGAGCACUGAAUUAUAGUGCUUCAUUGUUUGUUUUUUUAUAUGUCUGUUCCAAUUUGGAUUUUCAUCUUAAUUUUUUCCCUUCCCUCAACGAGCUUUGUUUCUUCGUAGUCAAGAGCAAGAUAUUGAAGAGGGGCUCACCAUGUGGAAAAGUUGAGUGGAUGAUUUGAUACAACGGUGUGGGAGGAAUGCACAUAUUUGGUCACACACGAGCUGUUACUCCAUCUUUCAUAUGCCUUGGACAAGAAAUGGGUGCGGGGGCUAAACCUACCUGAUGUUUUCUUCUCUCUGCGACCAGCAAUGCAGAACCAAAAUGUUCGCUGUCAAUGAGCUUUGAUAUUAUUGGUAUUGUGGACAAGUGAGGAGUCCUGUGUUAGAUUAUCAUAUCAACAAACAUAUUUCUAUUCGCACCGUUCCUCUCCUCUUCCCCCUCGUCGUAUUUCCUUGGGUCAAGAAGAGGGCUAAAUCGUAAGACCGAGAAGUGUAAGAACCGUCGAAUGAGAUAAUGGAGGCUUAUCCUUCUGCAAUAGGAAGUGUGGGAAGAACGUGGGGAUGUGGACGUCUUAGAUGUAAUGAGACCUCAAACAAAAGUGCGCCGGCACAACUGGAUGGCUUGGAAAGUCGCGAUCUUCACCUGUGAAUGGUAGCUUCAGGCCAAAGGGUGCGAUGCAAACAACAUACUUGUCAAGAGCUUUGCAAAUUAGGGCAUUGUCCACUUUGCACGGAAACUAUAUUUGCAGAGCUGACUUGCGCAUGUGGCCGAAUCUCUAAACCCUUACCGCUUUUUGGAGCUCAAUUACCAGGUUUAGAGUAUUUUAUCUUCGCAUGCAGAUUCAAAAUGGAAGUAUCUUUUGAAUUGCAAUCCCGUAAAGUAUCAGACAACACUUUCGAGGUCCAGAAAAUGCAGUGUAGUCAAGUAGCUAUCUUAAGUCUUGUAGUCCACGAAGCAACCCAUCGCUGUCAUUUUGGAGACUCUUCGUCCUGCACGGCGACUAUUCCAAACGAAGGUGUCGGUGAUAAUGCAGUGCUUCGUGGAGUUUCGUGUAGCAUUUGGAUGGCUGGUGUGGAGAGGGGAGGGGGUGUAUCAAAUGGCUAAAUGAUAGGGGAUGAUAAUGAAUUUAGUUGGUCAGGAGCCUCUAGUAUUUGCUUCUGUCCAUGUCAAAUCCAAACUGUCGGUAAUAUCAUCCAUGCCAAAGACGCUUGCUUUGGCGUGACUGGACCAGUCUUUGCUCUUUCAUUUAACCCAUAAGUGAUCAUAGAGUCUAGUCGUGUAGUUGGGGUCCCUGAUCUCCCGCGAGAUUCAUAUGUGAGCUCUUUCGUAUUACGUUUUGCCAGUUAGUGUAUUUGUCGCUGAGUGAAGUAAAUGUAUUAGCCAGCUUUGCGGAUACUGCUCGAGCCGCUCCAGCUCCAACUACCAGUGAAGACAAGUUCCUCCACUUGCGGUGGAGCUUUUGGGAACAUAGAUCUCAUGAACAGCAGGAUCAAAAGAAUACUUUAUAAAGAUGAGUUGAGGAUGCUUGGGAUGAUCAAGUAGGAGCUAGUCAUCAGGCUGAAGCUUGAUAAACCAUAGUUUUCCCUAUUUGAAUUUUUCAGAAUCCUGAGGACGCAUGUAAAUGUGAUAGUUCUGUUUUGAGCAGCGGGCCUGCAGAAAGAAGCACGACACAGAAGAGUUCUUUGAAACAUGUAAUUGGCGUUGUUGAGACAGGUAAUGUAAUCGGUUCAUUAGCUUUUCAUAUCUGUUAGACUGGUCAGUCAAACAGGAACAUCAAGUGAAUAAGAUUCAUCUCCAGGUCCUUUAUUAUUCUCAGCUUUGUUACCUGAUGGUGAGGACGACGACUGGGAGAAGCUGGAUGCUUUGUAAGAAAGUAGCGUGGUGAGCGAGAAAUCACCUUUUUCUUUUUACAACUUGAACAUUUAUUUCCUGAUAUCCUUGAUGUGAUGAACACCACUGUGACCUUGGAUUUUUGAGCUCAAUUUUCAAAACAUUGUCUUCAA